This 551-nucleotide ribosomal RNA is filed under the name Aspergillus sp. 08SK002. RNAcentral's name for it is "eukaryotic LSU rRNA". It matches the Rfam family "Eukaryotic large subunit ribosomal RNA", at positions 58 to 624 of the family's 3401-position model. Lineage: Eukaryota; Fungi; Ascomycota; Eurotiomycetes; Eurotiales; Aspergillaceae. The record is from RNAcentral.
AAAGAAACCAACCGGGAUUGCCCCAGUAACGGCGAGUGAAGCGGCAAGAGCUCAAAUUUGAAAGCUGGCCCCUCCGGGGUCCGCGUUGUAAUUUGCAGAGGAUGCUUCGGGUGCGGCCCCUGUCUAAGUGCCCUGGAACGGGCCAUCGGAGAGGGUGAGAAUCCCGUCUGGGAUGGGGUGUCCGCGCCCGUGUGAAGCUCCUUCGACGAGUCGAGUUGUUUGGGAAUGCAGCUCUAAAUGGGUGGUAAAUUUCAUCUAAAGCUAAAUACCGGCCGGAGACCGAUAGCGCACAAGUAGAGUGAUCGAAAGAUGAAAAGCACUUUGAAAAGAGAGUUAAAUAGCACGUGAAAUUGUUGAAAGGGAAGCGCUGGCGACCAGACUCGCCCGCGGGGUUCAGCCGGGAUUCGUCCCGGUGUACUUCCCCGCGGGCGGGCCAGCGUCGGUUUGGGCGGCCGUUUAAAGGCCCCGGGAAUGUAGCGCCCUCCGGGGCGCCUUAUAGCCCGGGGUGCAAUGCGGCCAGCCCGGACCGAGGAACGCGCUUCGGCACGGAC